RNAcentral lists this ribosomal RNA (254 nucleotides) under uncultured prokaryote. RNAcentral describes it as "partial 16S ribosomal RNA". It matches the Rfam family "Bacterial small subunit ribosomal RNA", at positions 525 to 777 of the family's 1533-position model. The record is from RNAcentral.
ACGGGGGGGGGCAAGCGUUGUUCGGAAUUACUGGGCGUAAAGGGCGCGUAGGCGGCCUUCUAAGUCAGACGUGAAAUCCCCCGGCUUAACCUGGGAACUGCGUCUGAUACUGGGGGGCUUGAGUGCGGGAGAGGGAUGCGGAAUUCCAGGUGUAGCGGUGAAAUGCGUAGAUAUCUGGAGGAACACCGGUGGCGAAGGCGGCAUCCUGGACCGACACUGACGCUGAGGCACGAAAGCGUGGGGAGCAAACAGGA